GAUGAACGCUGGCGGCGUGCCUAAUACAUGCGAGUCGAGCGAACAGACGAGGAGCUUGCUCCUCUGACGUUAGCGGCGGACGGGUGAGUAACACGUGGAUAACCUACCUAUAAGACUGGGAUAACUUCGGGAAACCGGAGCUAAUACCGGAUAAUAUAUUGAACCGCAUGGUUCAAUAGUGAAAGACGGUUUUGCUGUCACUUAUAGAUGGAUCCGCGCCGCAUUAGCUAGUUGGUAAGGUAACGGCUUACCAAGGCAACGAUGCGUAGCCGACCUGAGAGGGUGAUCGGCCACACUGGAACUGAGACACGGUCCAGACCCCUACGGGAGGCAGCAGUAGGGAAUCUUCCGCAAUGGGCGAAAGCCUGACGGAGCAACGCCGCGUGAGUGAUGAAGGUCUUCGGAUCGUAAAACUCUGUUAUUAGGGAAGAACAAAUGUGUAAGUAACUAUGCACGUCUGGACGGUACCUAAGCAGAAAGCCACGGCUAACUACGG
This 496-nucleotide ribosomal RNA is filed under the name uncultured bacterium. RNAcentral describes it as "partial 16S ribosomal RNA". It matches the Rfam family "Bacterial small subunit ribosomal RNA", at positions 28 to 506 of the family's 1533-position model. The record is from RNAcentral.